RNAcentral lists this ribosomal RNA (483 nucleotides) under uncultured bacterium. RNAcentral describes it as "partial 16S ribosomal RNA". It matches the Rfam family "Bacterial small subunit ribosomal RNA", at positions 30 to 507 of the family's 1533-position model. The record is from RNAcentral.
UUGAACGCUGGCGGCAGGCCUCACACAUGCAAGUCGAGCGGAUGAAGGGAGCUUGCUCCUGGAUUCAGCGGCGGACGGGUGAGUAAUGCCUAGGAAUCUGCCUGGUAGUGGGGGAUAACGUCCGGAAACGGGCGCUAAUACCGCAUACGUCCUGAGGGAGAAAGUGGGGGAUCUUCGGACCUCACGCUCUCAGAUGAGCCUAGGUCGGAUUAGCUAGUUGGUGGGGUAAAGGCCUACCAAGGCGACGAUCCGUAACUGGUCUGAGAGGAUGAUCAGUCACACUGGAACUGAGACACGGUCCAGACUCCUACGGGAGGCAGCAGUGGGGAAUAUUGGACAAUGGGCGAAAGCCUGAUCCAGCCAUGCCGCGUGUGUGAAGAAGGUCUUCGGAUUGUAAAGCACUUUAAGUUGGGAGGAAGGGCAGUAAGUUAAUACCUUGCUGUUUUGACGUUACCAACAGAAUAAGCACCGGCUAACUUCGUG